Molecule: ribosomal RNA, 478 nt
Filed under: uncultured bacterium
Lineage: Bacteria
Description: partial 16S ribosomal RNA
Rfam family: Bacterial small subunit ribosomal RNA
Source: RNAcentral
GAUGAACGCUGGCGGCGUGCUUAACACAUGCAAGUCGAACGAGAAGUGAAGACGGAAACCUUCGGGCGGAAGGCUUUAUUUCGAGUGGCGGACGGGUGAGUAACGCGUGGGUAACCUGCCUCAUACAGGGGGAUAACAGUUGGAAACGACUGUUAAUACCGCAUAAGACCACAGCACCGCAUGGUGCGGGGGUAAAAACUCCGGUGGUAUGAGAUGGACCCGCGUUCGAUUAGCCAGUUGGCGGGGUAACGGCCCACCAAAGCGACGAUCGAUAGCCGAUCUGAGAGGAUGACCGGCCACAUUGGGACUGGGACACGGCCCAAACUCCUACGGGAGGCAGCAGUGGGGAAUAUUGCACAAGGGGGGAAACCCUGAUGCAGCGACGCCGCGUGAGUGAAGAAGUAUUUCGGUAUGUAAAGCUCUAUCAGCAGGGAAGAAAAUGACGGUACCUUAGUAAGAAGCCCCGGCUAAGUACGUG